GAUUAGAAUAGUGGUUUCUGGACACCGUUUCCACCGGUGACUAACAAUAGUGGUUUCUGGCACUCUGUGCAACCCAUGCCACUGGGUUACGUGGCCGAGCCUAUCAUGUUGAGAUUCUGAUAUCAUAUUUUUGGAAAAAUGAUAAUAAGUUUUGAAAACAACAAAACAAUGUUAUUUAUGAUUUAUUCCAGACAUUAUCCUGUAUUUUGAUCUGAUAUGCUCUGACCCCACUCUGGGGUAUUUUGUUGCUUACUGGGCUAGUGUAGCUCAUUAUUCUGUUUUCUUCAUUUUUCAGAUCCAGAGGCUUGAUCGCACGGAAUUGGGGAGUGCGUUAGAUUUUUCGACGAUUCCUUCAGUUAUUAGUCCUUUAGUUAGAUUGAUGAAAGUAUUUGACUUACGUAAGCAUUUGUUAUUUGAAAUUUUGUAAAACCGCUUUUGAACAAUUUAAAUAAUUAUGUCAGUUUUGAAUAUUUGUAUCUGCUUUGAUAUGAUCCGAUGCCUUGCACGCCUGUGCCCA
This 517-nucleotide long non-coding RNA is filed under the name Phoenix dactylifera (date palm). RNAcentral describes it as "long non-coding RNA (PDAC_LNC022717)". The record is from RNAcentral. Lineage: Eukaryota; Viridiplantae; Streptophyta; Magnoliopsida; Arecales; Arecaceae.